Priapulus caudatus is the source of this 101-nucleotide long non-coding RNA. RefSeq lists it as uncharacterized. NCBI's taxonomy places the organism in Eukaryota, Metazoa, Priapulida, Priapulimorpha, Priapulimorphida, Priapulidae. The transcript is spliced from 3 exons. The record is from RefSeq and is a predicted model, not a curated record.
GCAGGAGAUUGCUGACAAUCCUCAUCUGUUCGUCGGUGGAGCGAGUCGAUUCGACGUACAGCAGGGAGAACUCGGUGAUUGCUGGUGGUUGGCAGCAGUAG